Molecule: non-coding RNA, 73 nt
Organism: Cervus elaphus (red deer)
Lineage: Eukaryota; Metazoa; Chordata; Mammalia; Artiodactyla; Cervidae
Source: the annotation of a RefSeq genome assembly
CCCCUGGUGGUCCAGCGGCUAAGACUCUGCACUCCUAAUGCAGAGGGUCCAGGGUCAAUCCCUGGUCGGGGGA